AAUGAACGCUGGCGGCGUGCCUAACACAUGCAAGUCGUGCGAGAAAGUUCCUUCGGGAGCGAGUAAAGCGGCGCACGGGUGAGUAACACGUAGGUAACCUGCCCCCCAGUCUGGAACAACUAGAGGAAACUCUAGCUAAUGCCGGAUGAGACCACGAUCCCUUCGGGGGUUGCGGCCAAAGAUGGCCUCUACUUGUAAGCUAUCGCUGAGGGAUGGGCCUGCGGGCCAUUAGCUUGUUGGUGAGGUAACGGCUCACCAAGGCUGUGAUGGCUAGCUGGUCUGAGAGGAUGACCAGCCACACUGGGACUGAGACACGGCCCAGACUCCUACGGGAGGCAGCAGUGGGGAAUAUUGCGCAAUGGGCGAAAGCCUGACGCAGCGACGCCGCGUGGGUGAUGAAGGCC
RNAcentral lists this ribosomal RNA (404 nucleotides) under uncultured bacterium. Its description in RNAcentral is "bacterial SSU rRNA". It matches the Rfam family "Bacterial small subunit ribosomal RNA", at positions 29 to 416 of the family's 1533-position model. The record is from RNAcentral.